UACGUAGGGGGCAAGCGUUGUCCGGAUUUAUUGGGCGUAAAGAGCGUGUAGGCGGCUAGAUAGGUCCGUUGUGAAAACUCGAGGCUCAACUUCGAGCUGUCGGUGGAAACUUUCUGGCUAGAGUCCGGAAGAGGAGAAUGGAAUUCCUGGUGUAGCGGUGAAAUGCGCAGAUAUCAGGAAGAACACCCGUGGCGAAGGCGGUUCUCUGGGACGGUACUGACGCUGAGACGCGAAAGCGUGGGGAGCGAACAGG
This 253-nucleotide ribosomal RNA is filed under the name uncultured bacterium. Its description in RNAcentral is "partial 16S ribosomal RNA". It matches the Rfam family "Bacterial small subunit ribosomal RNA", at positions 524 to 776 of the family's 1533-position model. The record is from RNAcentral.